GUGCUCGCUUCGGCAGCACAUAUACUAAAAUUGGAACGAUACAGAUAAGAUUAGCAUGGGGCCCUGCAUAAGGAAAACAACACAGAGCUUUUAACUAAUUUC
Molecule: small nuclear RNA, 102 nt
Organism: Psammomys obesus (fat sand rat)
Lineage: Eukaryota; Metazoa; Chordata; Mammalia; Rodentia; Muridae
Source: RefSeq, a predicted model, not a curated record